AGAAAUACUGUAGAUUUGGGUUUGUGAUUUAGAAAUUAGGAUAACAAAAAUAUUUGUGGAUAGAGGAGUAUUCUUUCAGAAUUUUUUAUCAAUAUAUUGUAUCUUUAAUAAUUUUCUUAAAAGCUGCUAUUUUUGGAAAGUUUUCAUUUUUUUGAGAACUUUUAUAAAUUUGAGUUUGUGAUUUAGAAAUUAGGAUAACAAGAAUAUUAGUGGAU
RNAcentral lists this long non-coding RNA (215 nucleotides) under Brassica napus (rape). RNAcentral's name for it is "long non-coding RNA (BNAP_LNC001218)". Lineage: Eukaryota; Viridiplantae; Streptophyta; Magnoliopsida; Brassicales; Brassicaceae. The record is from RNAcentral.